UACGUAGGGUGCGAGCGUUGUCCGGAAUUAUUGGGCGUAAAGAGCUCGUAGGCGGUGUGUCACGUCGUUCGUGAAAACCUGCAGCUUAACUGUGGGCGUGCGGUCGAUACGGGCAUCACUGGAGUUCGGCAGGGGAGACUGGAAUUCCUGGUGUAGCGGUGAAAUGCGCAGAUAUCAGGAGGAACACCGGUGGCGAAGGCGGGUCUCUGGGACGAUACUGACGCUGAGGAGCGAAAGCGUGGGGAGCAAACAGG
Molecule: ribosomal RNA, 254 nt
Filed under: uncultured bacterium
Lineage: Bacteria
Description: partial 16S ribosomal RNA
Rfam family: Bacterial small subunit ribosomal RNA
Source: RNAcentral